GACGAACGCUGGCGGCGUGCUUAACACAUGCGAGUCGAACGGAAAGGCCCUGCUUUUGUGGGGUGCUCGAGUGGCGAACGGGUGAGUAACACGUGAGUAACCUGCCCUUGACUUUGGGAUAACUUCAGGAAACUGGGGCUAAUACCGGAUAGGAGCUCCUGCUGCAUGGUGGGGGUUGGAAAGUUUCGGCGGUUGGGGAUGGACUCGCGGCUUAUCAGCUUGUUGGUGGGGUAGUGGCUUACCAAGGCUUUGACGGGUAGCCGGCCUGGGAGGGUGACCGGCCACAUUGGGACUGAGAUACGGCCCAGACUCCUACGGGAGGCAGCAGUGGGGAAUAUUGCACAAUGGGCGGAAGCCUGAUGCAGCAACGCCGCGUGCGGGAUGACGGCCUUCGGGUUGUAAACCGCUUUCGCCUGUGACGAAGCGUGAGUGACGGUAAUGUGUAAAGAAGCACCGGCUAACUACGUG
Molecule: ribosomal RNA, 468 nt
Filed under: uncultured bacterium
Lineage: Bacteria
Description: partial 16S ribosomal RNA
Rfam family: Bacterial small subunit ribosomal RNA
Source: RNAcentral